This 114-nucleotide small RNA is filed under the name Klebsiella pneumoniae. RNAcentral's name for it is "partial RtT sRNA". It matches the Rfam family "RtT RNA", at positions 19 to 130 of the family's 130-position model. Rfam says of the family: This family represents a bacterial cis-regulatory element known as RtT RNA. The exact function of RtT is unknown although it is thought that it may be involved in changing the cellular response in relation to amino acid starvation. The record is from RNAcentral. RNAcentral also lists the same sequence under 1 other name. Lineage: Bacteria; Pseudomonadati; Pseudomonadota; Gammaproteobacteria; Enterobacterales; Enterobacteriaceae.
AGGAUGAGAAGCUUCGACCAAGGUUCGACUCGAGCGAAACGAGAGAACGUUGCCGCAGGCAACGGCCCGAAGGGCGAGGCGCUUUAGCGCCGAGUAAUCCUUCCCCCACCACCA